Molecule: regulatory RNA element, 84 nt
Organism: Frigoribacterium sp. RIT-PI-h
Lineage: Bacteria; Bacillati; Actinomycetota; Actinomycetes; Micrococcales; Microbacteriaceae
Rfam family: ZMP/ZTP riboswitch aptamer (pfl RNA motif)
About the family: Previously known as pfl RNA.
Source: Rfam
UGGGCGGGUCGCGACUGGCGUUCAGAUGGUCACCAUCGGGGAGCGACUGACACACGUGCGUGGCCGUACGCCUGGGCCACGACA